Molecule: ribosomal RNA, 207 nt
Filed under: uncultured bacterium
Lineage: Bacteria
Description: partial 16S ribosomal RNA
Rfam family: Bacterial small subunit ribosomal RNA
Source: RNAcentral
GACGUAGGGGCGAAGCGUUGUCCGGAAUCAUUGGGCGUAAAGAGCGCGUAGGCGGCCCGACAAGUCCGCUGUGAAAGUCAGGGGCUUAACCCUUGAAUGCCGGUGGAUACUGUCGGGCUAGAGUCCGGAAGAGGAGUGUGGAAUUCCUGGUGUAGCGGUGAAAUGCGCAGAUAUCAGGAAGAACACCUAUGGCGAAGGCAGCACUCU